UCAAAAUAGGUACUUUUUAUGUUAUAUUUGCAUUUUAAAUACAAGUAUUUCAAAUAAAUCACAUCUUUGGCAAGAUGCUGUAUAAGAUAUUUACUAUGAUUAAAAAGAGUGCAUCUGUCAGCAACUUUUCUGUCUUUUUCAUCAAGGGGUGCAUUAUCAACCCCCAAAAAGGCAUGCUUUAUACGUAAAAUUGCAGAACCCCUGCUAUCACGAACUCCCAGUCUAGUAUGUUCUAUCUGUUUUUCUCAAGCAAAAUAAGCAAACAUCUCCUUUUUAUCUAAACGAAAAUAUGAAAGAACAUUAUAGGGAUUUACCUACUUGUACAAAUAGUUUCUAACUAAUCUGAUAAAUUAAUUAUUUACAAAAUUUGUACGAUGAACCCUAUUUUUUAUUUUGUAUGUGCAUUUUAAAUGCAAGUAUUUCAAGUAAAUCACAUCUCUGCUCUGGAUGUACGUUCCUUGGGGAUUAGGAGUUUGGCAAGGCAAUAAUGAUGCCUCAAGAAGGUGAAAUGGACGUUAAUCAUUACAAUAAAUAGAUUGAUGAUAAAUAAGAAUGGAAGAGUGUUCAUUUUGAUGCAACUGAAAAAGCUAGUUGUCUGCCAUGUUCGUUUCAUUUUGGAGGAUCUAAUCAAUCACGGAACAUUAAAAAAAAACCCUGGAUAGCAUUAAUUUACAGUGCCUUAGUUGUGUCUGCGUUCAUUCGGUUCAGAAAGUAGCUGUCCUAAAAAGAAUCACAAAAGUGCCUUUUUUUCGAUUACGAACGAAUACAGUGUGGCAUUGCUGAAGGAAGGAUUUAUGACAAAUGAACUGAUUGUCCAAGUGAGAAGAAAUUACAGCUAAUUCUGAUGGUACUGAAAGAGUCGAUGCUUUUGAUGUCUUACCCUUGCAACAUAAUUUUGAACCUGAGAAGGGGAGGCAUUUGAAAAUUACUUUGGAAACGACUGAAACAACAACUUGUCUGCAGUGAUAUUCCUCCUGGAUUUGGCUUGUUAAUUCUACCUGUGGACCUUAGGAAGCUACUUUCUGCAGUUAUUUAAGAUUGCCCAACAAAUGAGUUCAGUUUGGCGCUACUCGAACAACCGUCUACAUGGGUGUGGUCUUUUCUGGACUUUGUUCCUGAUUUGAUAUUUUCAUCUUCACUUCGCAACACUAUGCAGUUGAUUUUCGACCGAUUAGUGGGAGCAACUAAGGAUCUAUUUGAUUUCAAAUGGAACAACAAAAUUUCUGCUAUG
Molecule: long non-coding RNA, 1231 nt
Organism: Agrilus planipennis (emerald ash borer)
Lineage: Eukaryota; Metazoa; Arthropoda; Insecta; Coleoptera; Buprestidae
Exons: 5
Source: RefSeq, a predicted model, not a curated record